UGCUUGGUGGUGUAGUGGUAGAGCACGCGUCUCCGCAUAGGAUGAAAAGCGCGUUCGAUUCUCGCCUUAGGCCG
Molecule: non-coding RNA, 74 nt
Organism: Parelaphostrongylus tenuis
Lineage: Eukaryota; Metazoa; Nematoda; Chromadorea; Rhabditida; Metastrongylidae
Source: the annotation of a GenBank genome assembly